AAUACAAACCCCCCCCCCUCACACAAGGAUAUACUCUAUCUCUCUCUCUCUUUCUCUCGUCAACCGCCUCAAUUUCUUGCUCAACUACCCUCCUGCGCUCUCUAUUAUCAAUCAACUAUUUUCCUUUGCGAUGCCGUAGCGCUCUCCGACGCCGGAACUCCUCGCCGCCGGCGGAAUCUCCGGCUUAAUUACCUGGAUUUUAGGUUUUUCGAUUUCGAUUCUUUCUGCCUAUUCGAUUCGAUUGUCCUUUCAGUUUGGGAGCCUCUGGAGGUUUUGUUUCUUUUUUCUCUUCUUAAUUAGUAUAUAGGUUGCGUAGAAUAGAUUUAUAGAUAGAAACGACAUGGCUGGGGGUCGUAAAAAGGGAGGCAACAAGGCCAAAGCCAAGAGUCAGUUGAGUAUGGGGGAUCUUGUUCUCGCCAAAGUCAAGGGCUUUCCUGCCUGGCCUGCCAAGAUUAGUCGACCUGAAGACUGGGAUCGAGCUCCGGACCCUAAGAAAUAUUUUGUUCAAUUCUUUGGAACACAGGAAAUAGCUUUUGUUGCCCCCGCUGACAUUCAGGCAUUCACCAGUGAGUCGAAGAGUAAAUUGUUAGCUCGGUGUCAAGGUAAAACAGUUAAGUACUUUGCUCAAGCAGUGAAGGAAAUUUGUGGUGCAUUUGAAGAGUUAGGGAAGGAAAAAUCAAGUGAAUUGAGAUCUGAGGCCGCCUCUGUGGAUGGGGCAGAUGCUGACUUGAAGGAUGGGGCAGGUUCUGCCAUACCUAAUGGAGAAUCAAAAAAGGAAGAAAUAGGUGAUUUUGGUUCUAAGUUGGAGCCCUGCUCAAAUAGUCGAGGAGAAACUGACAGUGAGGAUAUAAAGCCUUCAAUUUCAUGUAAUCCAGCAGAUGACAUUUCAUCUCCGGUUAUGUCAUCUGAGAAAAAGAUGAAAAUAUCUAAUGGGCCGCAAUCAAAAGAUGAAUUAUCCACAUCUGCUUCAGAUAGUGUUUCUAAUGUAAAGGAGGAAAUUUCUGGUGAUAAAAAAGAAGAUAUUGACCGGGUUAAGCACCCUGUUAAAGGACAGAAGGUAUUUGCAAAUGGUCACAAGUUGAAGAAAAUGGCUUCUGGGUCAAAGAAGAGAUGUGAGGUUGUAGUUGAAGGACAAAGAGGUAGCUCUGCUGUAACAUCACUGAAGGAUGAUUGUUCUGGUAAUAGUGUUGAUCUCCCUCAUUCUGGUGAGCAAUUUAAAGACACAAUAAAAAUGAAAAUUGCAUCUGAUAGUAGCAUGAUGGAAUAUUCUUCUGUUGCUUUGAAGUCAGAUAUGGAUGUUGGUGGUGGAAAAAUAACUAAAGAUGUGCUUAAAUCAAAAAGAAGCUUGAAAGUAUCAGAUGAUGACACUGUUGCUAAUUCCAAGGAUGAGGCUUGUGGAAAUAAAAAAUGUUCCCAACCUGGGACAGCUGGGAAGGUUAAGUUGGGAACAAAUGACAUUUUACAUCCUGCCAAAAAGUCUAAGGCUGUAGAUUUGAAAGAUGAUGCUGUCAAGGCAUCUCUUUCUAAAAGUGUGAAGAGUGGUUUUUCAAGUUCUAAUGCUGAUGACAACAAAGCAUUUAAACAUUCUGACUUAAAACGGUCCUCAUCCCAUGUGAAGACUGAAAUGGUUUUGGCGUUGCAAGCUCAAACAUGUAAAAGUAAAGUUGAAUCUGAUGUUUCUGGUGAUGAAGCUGUGCUGCCUUUAACAAAGCGCCGUAGGCGGGCUUUGGAGGCUAUGUCUGAUUCUGCUACUCUCAAUUCUGAUGAUAAAAUGGGGAAAAAUUCUCAUGAAAUGAAGAAUGAUGUGUCAUGUUUUAACAAUGUUAAACCUCCAGUGCCACAGUCACUCAAAAGACGGAGAGCUGUUUGCCUGUUUGAUGAGGAUGAUGAUGAAGAACCCAAAACUCCAGUUCAUGGAGGAUCUGCCAGAAAUGUGAAAACUCCUUCAUCUGUUUCUGAUAAUUCUAAAAGUUCUGCACAUCAUGAGAUUAAUGUUAAUGCUCAGCAGAAUGCUAGUGCUAAAGAUUCUGUUGGAAUUGAGAAUAUGCCAAAGGAAUCCUUAUUGCAAAUACAUAAUGAGUCUGUGUCACCUUCCCAACCAGAAAAAUCAGAAAGGAUGCCUGAUUCUCAUGUUGCACACAGUCCUGGGAUAGCAGAAUCUGAGCAAUUACCAUUGAAGGAGGCUAAAGCAAUAUUGGUUUCCCCUAAAAGGUCUCCUCACUUGGUUUCCACUACCAGGACAACUGCAGAACAGCAUAAAGCCUCAAAACCUGCGGUCACUAAAAGUUCUGGUCCUAGUACUCAGAAAAAAGUUCAGGCAAUGUCUGGUAAGGGUUUGGUUCUUGCUUCUGAUAGCAUAAACUCUCUUCAAAAUCAAGUUGCUAGUCAAAGAAAUAGGGCAGCCUCUUCUGGAGAUCGACCAAAAACCACUCCAAAAGCAGCUUCACGUAUGAAUGACCGUGCUCUUUUGACAGAAACUGUAAUAGAUCACAGUUCCCUGCCCAUCGAAAUAAUGGAGUCUAGUAGAGAAGAUAGAAGCAGUUCAUUCUUUGAUUCCAAGACUCCAGACUCUGUUAUGUCCAUGAAACAUCUUAUUGCAGCUGCUCAGGCAAAAAGGAAACAAGCUCACUUGCAACAGUUUUCGUUUGGAAAUCCUAAUGCUGCCUUUACUUCAGUUGCUGAGGUCCAGGGGAGGAGCCCUAGCCCCUCUUCUGUUCAGCCUUUUUUGUCUGGCACCAACAAUGUGGUACAGGCAGAUAUACAGGGAUUUAAUAAUCGCACCAGUUUAGCUUCUCCAUCAACUCAUGGUCAUCUGUCAGCGACCCGUAGUCAACUAGAUUCUGAAGAAAUCGAGGAAAGAAGAGUUAGUUCAGGUCACAGAGCUGGUGGAGGCUCAUUGAGUGGUGGUACUGAGGCAGCUGUUGCUCGUGAUGCAUUUGAAGGAAUGAUAGAAACUUUGUCAAGGACUAAAGAAAGUAUUGGACGUGCAACUCGUCUUGCCAUUGAUUGUGCCAAGUAUGGUAUUGCUAAUGAGGUUGUGGAACUUCUUAUCCGGAAGUUGGAAAGCGAGCCUAGUUAUCAUCGUAAAGUGGACUUAUUCUUUCUUGUGGACUCAAUCACUCAGUGUUCACAUAAUCAAAAAGGCAUUGCUGGAGCUUCAUAUAUUCCUGUCGUUCAAUCUGCAUUGCCACGACUUCUUGGUGGUGCUGCUCCACCUGGAAAUGGGGCUCGUGAAAAUCGUCGUCAAUGUCUCAAGGUUUUACGCUUGUGGCUUGAGAGAAAAAUUUUGCCUGAAUCUCUUUUGCGGAAAUGCAUGGAUGACAUUGGAGUUUCAAAUGAUGAGUCAACUUCUGGGUUUUCCCUUAGGCGACCAUCUCGAGCUGAGCGUGCUAUAGAUGAUCCGAUAAGAGAAAUGGAAGGCAUGCUUGUUGAUGAGUAUGGCAGUAAUGCUACAUUUCAGUUGCCUGGCUUUCUAUCUUCCCAUGUGUUUGAGGAUGAUGAAGAAGAUGAUCUUCCAAGCAGUACAUAUAAAGAAGUUGGUGAUACAUCGCCAAUAGAGCAAACACGUGCUUCAGGAGAGUCAGAAACAUGCACUGUUACUCCCAAUGAUAGGCGUCAUUGUAUCUUGGAGGAUGUGGAAGGGGAGCUUGAAAUGGAAGAUGUUUCUGGUCAUCCAAAGGAUGGAAAUGAUUCUUUUGAAAUAGAAUCACAACAUGGCUCGGAUAGGAUCUUGGAGUCGGUUUCAAAUAAUUUCAGUGAGUUACCCCCUUUACCUGAGGGUUCUCCUCCAUUGCCUCCAGAUUCUCCUCCUCCACUCCCGCCCUUGCCUCCAUCACCACCACCACCACCUCCUCCAAUGUCUUCUCCUUCACCUCCACCGCCACCACCUCCUCUUCCAUCACAGCCACCACCACCACCUCCUCCUCCUUUGGGGCCGCCACCAUCUAUGGUACCACAAUCAUCAAUGGUACAAUCACAACCUUCAUUAGUGUCUCAACCGUUACUGCCACCUCAGUCAUCAGUUCAGUCUUCACCUCAGUUGGCAUAUCAACCACCUGUUCCUCGAGAAUAUUGCAACACACCCAGUGGUAAUCAAAUUGUCCAAAUGUCUGGAAAUACUCCUCAUGGUGGUCAUAUUGAUGCUCCUGUGAAAAAUGAAUUAUUUACACAGCAAUCACCUUGCUUUGUACCAACAGGAAUGUGCAGUUCUCGAGAACCUUCUGGAUAUAAUUCUUCAAGGCAGUUGGAAUAUGGUCAUAAUGAUAUAUAUUUAAAUCCCCAAGCUUCUCAACCAAACCAGCAAUUUCAGCAAGGUAAUGCACCAUUUGUGCAAAGACCUCUACAUCCUGCCCUGCCUCAAACCCCUUCCAAUCAUUUCUCAUUUACAAAGCCAGGGAUUCAGCAACAUCCUCAUCAGCAUUACCCCCGCCCAUAUGCAAUGCCAUCACACCCUGAUAACCAAAGGCGAUACGUUGGUGAUGAACAGUGGAGGAUGCCAUCAGGUGAAUUUAAUACAGAGAGUCAGCAUGGUGUGUGGAUGGGUGGGAGGAGAACUCCCCCUCAAUCAGGACCAACAUUUGUCCAAGAAGGUUACUUUCGGCCACCUGUUGAAAGACCACCCACAAAUAAUAUGGGUUUUCAGCUAUCUGCCACGAACAAUUUACCAGCUGCACCUCCAAUACCAGGUCACAGUGUUUCCCAGAUGUUGCCAUGUAGGCCAGACAUGUCAGCGCUUAAUUGCUGGAGACCAGCUUAGGAAUGAACCUAAACCCUUCUUAAGUGCUUAAUGUGUGGAUUGUGAGACAAGUUACAAACUUACAUUAUAUUCUUCUCAAAAGGGGGGUUCAUCUUGUGAACAAAACCAUUUACAGCUUGAAGGCAGUGUUAGAGCUUAUGGAGACUCUUGGCAGGACUGUGUAUAUGUAAUUUUUCCUGACAAAUGUAUCCAGGGAACAUAUGCUUCCAAGUGUAGGCUCAUGUUUCUGACUUGGGAGUUGUUCUGCUCGAAGUAGAUUGGGUCUAAACACUUUCGUAUAUGUGACUUGGUUGGUUGCCCUGAAGAUCAGUACCUUGGACAUGUUAUGAAUUGGGAAUUGCACCAAGGAAUUCAAUUCAGUAGUGUUAUUGGUACAAAGAAAUUGAAGAUACUACCUAAUGCAUUGUUUUUGGCUGCUAGCUUCAGCAUUUUGUAACAGUUACUUAUAAUUGGAUGUUAGAAUAAUGUGGGGGCUUCUUUACCCAGUUGCAAUUUGUGAUCUGUUCUCUUCUAUAAUUGGCAUUGGGUGUGAAGUGGUGAUCAUGGGUUCCUUUUGAGUUCAGGUAGAUGAUAGUUGUGCUUUACUGCAUGUAGGUUUGGGCAUAUCACAAAAGCUGACGUUUCUUAAUUCAUUGUGUUUUUAUCUGGUUUUCCAUUGAAGAAUAAAGUCUGGAUUUCCUGGAAGACAAACUACAUCGAUAUCUGGAGAACUCAGAAUUCUGGAGCUGGUCGGUGCACAAUUUAUUAAUACAGAACUGCAGUAAAAAUGCUGUUUUAGAUAGAGUUAAACAAAGUAUUACAGCUCAAACUUCAAGCACCAAAAUCCUCUACUUUAGUUUGUCAACAGCAAUUGUAUCAGAAAUUAUGGAUACAAAUCUGAUCACAUAGCAUUAGCAGGUAUGGAUUCUGUCUCUAUGACCUAUUGGACUCUCAAAUGUCUCGGCCAGUGGAAAGGCUUCAAGUGACACAUUUGGGGAGGAUAAUACCAGUACCAGUUACCACUUUCAGUUCCAUAUAUUAUUAUGAAGAGAAAAGUAACGAAUUAUAAUGUGAAACAAACAGUAAAUUCACUAAAUUGUAUAUGUAAAUUUUUUUUUAUAUAUAACCAGGUAAUCUAUUAGACUUUC
This is an RNA transcript of Pistacia vera, 5883 nucleotides long. It is a transcript of the gene named ENHANCER OF AG-4 protein 2, with no coding region annotated. The transcript is spliced from 15 exons. Lineage: Eukaryota; Viridiplantae; Streptophyta; Magnoliopsida; Sapindales; Anacardiaceae. The record is from RefSeq and is a predicted model, not a curated record.